Pogona vitticeps (central bearded dragon) is the source of this 468-nucleotide long non-coding RNA. RefSeq lists it as uncharacterized. Lineage: Eukaryota; Metazoa; Chordata; Lepidosauria; Squamata; Agamidae. The record is from RefSeq and is a predicted model, not a curated record.
CACAGAGGGGCCGUGGGUUAGCCAGUUGGAGGGGAGGCUUAUAAGCUAAAAAGAUGUAGAGGAGCGCCUCUCCCGGGGAACGGAAGCGGAAACCGGGCUCCUGCCGUCCUCUCUGUGUCUCCCACCUCUAUAGUCUUCCUCGCCCAUUUCUCACCAGAGGACUUGGAAGGAGGCGGGGUGGACAAUUGUCUCUAGAGUGACCAUCCGAACGCGACAUGGACGAAGGCCGAGGACCUGCCUUGAGAGCCUCUGAACUGCUUGUUGGCUUGAGAAGCUUGCUGCUGAUACUGCUGCUGCGGAAACUGCCUCUGCCACUGGCACUUUUGAAACUUUGGUUGCUGGUGGAUUGUAUAUGAUUUUUUUACUUUCAUGUAGGCUCUUGAGAGAUUCAUCAGUUUUCUCAUUAAACAAGCCCUUGGCAUCAAACGCUUGUUCUUCGAUCUGCUUCUUGACAUCCUCCACGAUACC